RNAcentral lists this ribosomal RNA (253 nucleotides) under uncultured bacterium. RNAcentral describes it as "partial 16S ribosomal RNA". It matches the Rfam family "Bacterial small subunit ribosomal RNA", at positions 524 to 776 of the family's 1533-position model. The record is from RNAcentral.
UACGUAGGGUGCAAGCGUUAAUCGGAAUUACUGGGCGUAAAGCGUGCGCAGGCGGUUCUAUAAGACAGAUGUGAAAUCCCCGGGCUCAACCUGGGAACUGCAUUUGUGACUGUAGAGCUGUAGUGCGGCAGAGGGGGAUGGAAUUCCGCGUGUAGCAGUGAAAUGCGUAGAUAUGCGGAGGAACACCGAUGGCGAAGGCAAUCCCCUGGGCCUGCACUGACGCUCAUGCACGAAAGCGUGGGGAGCAAACAGG